UACGUAGGCAGCGAGCGUUGUUCGGAGUUACUGGGCGUAAAGGGUGUGUAGGCGGUUAUUUAAGUUUGGUGUGAAAUCUCCCGGCUCAACUGGGAGGGUGCGCCGAAUACUGAGUGACUAGAGUGCGGGAGAGGAAAGUGGAAUUCCUGGUGUAGCGGUGAAAUGCGUAGAUAUCAGGAAGAACACCUAUGGCGAAGGCAGCUCUCUGGGACGGUACUGACGCUGAGACGCGAAAGCGUGGGGAGCGAACAGG
RNAcentral lists this ribosomal RNA (253 nucleotides) under uncultured bacterium. Its description in RNAcentral is "partial 16S ribosomal RNA". It matches the Rfam family "Bacterial small subunit ribosomal RNA", at positions 524 to 776 of the family's 1533-position model. The record is from RNAcentral.